RNAcentral lists this transfer RNA (76 nucleotides) under Pseudonocardiales bacterium. RNAcentral describes it as "tRNA-Thr". It matches the Rfam family "tRNA". From Rfam's summary of the family: Transfer RNA (tRNA) molecules are approximately 80 nucleotides in length. Their secondary structure includes four short double-helical elements and three loops (D, anti-codon, and T loops). The record is from RNAcentral. RNAcentral also lists the same sequence under 1 other name. Lineage: Bacteria; Bacillati; Actinomycetota; Actinomycetes; Pseudonocardiales.
GCCGGUGUAGCUCAGUUGGUAGAGCAACCGCCUUGUAAGCGGUAGGUCGUCGGUUCGAGUCCGACCCCCGGCUCCA